RNAcentral lists this ribosomal RNA (253 nucleotides) under uncultured bacterium. RNAcentral's name for it is "partial 16S ribosomal RNA". It matches the Rfam family "Bacterial small subunit ribosomal RNA", at positions 524 to 776 of the family's 1533-position model. The record is from RNAcentral.
UACGUAGGGUGCGAGCGUUGUCCGGAAUUACUGGGCGUAAAGAGCUCGUAGGUGGUUUGUCGCGUUGUCCGUGAAAUUCCCUGGCUUAACCUGGGCACUGCAGUUGAAACUGGCAAGCUAGAGUAGGGUAGAGGCAGAUGGAAUUCCCGGUGUAGCGGUGGAAUGCGUAGAGAUCGGGAAGAACAUCGGUGGCGAAGGCGGUCUGCUGGGCCGUUGCUGACGCUGAGGCGCGACAGCGUGGGGAGCAAACAGG